GGCCGCAGUCAGAUCACCCUGCAGCCCAAGACUGGUCCCGCACUGAAGAUGAGCAGGGCUGAGGCUGGUCAGUGUCUGGAUGGGAGAGCACAUGGGAACACUAGGCUGCUGUUGGCA
Ribosomal RNA from Danio rerio (zebrafish), 117 nucleotides. The record is from Ensembl. NCBI's taxonomy places the organism in Eukaryota, Metazoa, Chordata, Actinopteri, Cypriniformes, Danionidae.